UGGAUGAAGACAGAGCAGUAGAGUUCGACACUAGCAUGUACCACUUUGGUGAACAUCUACCUCCAGCGAGGGAGAGCAAGAGCUUGAGUGAAGCUCAUAGGAACAACAAUAAACUGUAGAAGUGAUGCAACAAGCAGGACAAGCUACUCGCCAAAUGCUUCAAAACUAUCAAGUUUUUGACAAAUAAGCUGAGAUGUUCCUCCUCUACUACAGCUAUUCCA
RNAcentral lists this microRNA precursor (221 nucleotides) under Arabidopsis thaliana (thale cress). RNAcentral's name for it is "microRNA MIR854". It matches the Rfam family "MIR854 microRNA precursor family". RNAcentral also lists the same sequence under 1 other name. The record is from RNAcentral. Lineage: Eukaryota; Viridiplantae; Streptophyta; Magnoliopsida; Brassicales; Brassicaceae.